Molecule: RNA transcript, 2355 nt
Organism: Lycium barbarum (goji berry)
Lineage: Eukaryota; Viridiplantae; Streptophyta; Magnoliopsida; Solanales; Solanaceae
Gene name: mitochondrial carrier protein MTM1
Exons: 11
Source: RefSeq, a predicted model, not a curated record
UCUCAUUGGCUCUUUUUGAAAUAUUUCAAAAGUAAAAGUCGAAUUUCCUCUUCCACAUUUACAUGGAAUUCCCUUCGAAAGGCCCUAAUAUUUAGGCGGGCCAAACGCAGCCCUAAUUCGAGAGACUUCUCUCAGGCCGCAAGGCGCGGCGUUUCUGCUUUCCUCUUCUCCAAGGAACUAGGGAAAUUCCUUUUUUCUACAAAUAACUAUCAUUUCUUUCCCUUUUAUUUAAUUUAAUUUAAUCUCACUCUCACGAACUGCUGAAUUAAAGCUGAGAUCAGCAGGUUUAUUUUCUAUUUUUUUCCGUCAACUUAUGAUUCCCUUUCAACACUAAGUAUUAAAGCUCUGAUUUUUCUGCUUUUUUUGAAUUGUUCCCUUAAUAGCUGUUCUCUAUGAAAUAUUGAAAACCCAGUUCAUGUAUUUUGUUUGUUUUGAUAAUUUCUUUUUAAUUUUCUGGUAGAGGAGGAGGAAUUUAUCGGUUGUUAAUUGUUGAUGUUGUUAUAAACUCUUUCUUUAAUAAAUUCUAUCUUUUCCUUGUUUGCAUUUGGAUGUAACCUUUACCUCAUUAUGUUGACAUUCUUUCCAUGGGUGGCCCUAUUUUAUCUUAUACUUGUAUUAUUCCAAAUUUUCAUUUAUUUGCUUCCUUUCUCAUAACUACAUUUUAAGAAAGGGGUGAGGGGAAUAAUCAAAAUCUUCCUUUCAAUUUUAGUAGGCAACAAUUCAUUUCAGGUUGAUCCAGUAGUUAAAUAAAAUGGUGGACGAAUUGAAGAAGGGAGAAAAUUCAUGGAUGGACACGACUGAGCAAUCGAAUAGAGUAGUAGAUGUUGAUAAAAAUGUUUCCUUGAUGUCCGGAUCAGUAAUUAUCACUGACGGGGCAGAACCCUUACAUCCUCAGCAGCCUCCACCUCAGGUUCCCACCAGCCCCUCCUCGGAUGUCCAAUUGGGCUUAUCUGAACGAGCCGUCUCAGCAGCCGGUGCAGCCUUUCUCUCUGCAGUCCUUACUAAUCCACUUGAUGUUGUCAAGACUAGAUUGCAAACACAGGCAGCUGGAGUUGCUUAUUCACAUCCAAUGAGUAACAUGACAAGCCGCAUGGCAGUUUUUGGACCAAAUAUGAUGUUUGCAGAUCUGAGGUGUUCACCUUCAUGUACCCGCGCUGGUGUUCAUGGCACAGUAUCAAUCUGCCCGCCUGAUUGUUUCCAGUACAAAGGAGCACUUGAUGUCUUCUACAAAAUUAUUCGGCAGGAGGGUAUUUCUAGGCUAUGGAGAGGCACAAAUGCUGGUCUAGCACUGGCUGUACCAACAGUCGGAAUUUACUUGCCUUGCUAUGACAUUUUUCGGAACAAGUUAGAGGAGUUCACAGCCCAACAUGCCCCAAGCUUGACACCAUAUGCUCCUUUGUUAGCUGGUUCGCUGGCACGGUCUUUAGCUUGCACAAGUUGCUAUCCUCUUGAACUUGCCAAAACACGAAUGCAGGCAUUUAAGGAUAUGAACAAGAAGCCUGCUGGAGUCUGGAAGACUUUGUUUGAGGUUAUUGCCAAUGUCAGGAGCACAACUAAUACCAACUGUGGCUUACAAAGCUAUCGUGUACUUUGGAGUGGACUUGGGGCACAGCUUGCUCGCGACGUCCCUUUUUCUGCAAUUUGUUGGACAACUCUUGAACCAGUAAGGAGGCGACUUCUUAGUCUAAUGGGAGAUGAAGCUAAUGCUGCUGGUGUCCUUGGGGCAAAUUUUUCUGCUGCUUUUGUUGCAGGAAGCAUUGCUGCUGCUGCAACAUGUCCCCUUGAUGUUGCUAAGACUAGAAGACAGAUUGAGAGAGACCCCACCAGGGCAUUGAGGAUGACAACAAGGCAAACUCUACUUGAGAUUUGGAGGGAUGGAGGGCUCAAGGGACUGUUUACUGGAGUAGGUCCUCGUGUUGGUCGUGCUGGGCCUUCAGUUGGAAUUGUGAUUUCGUUUUACGAAGUAGUCAAAUAUAUGUUACACCACAAAUAUGCUUCUUCAUAGCGCACGUAGUCAGGUUAAUUAGGGUUUCUUCUUUCCAACGUCUCGGAUCGGGCAAUGGUCACUGACUUAGCUGAGUUGGACCGUGACGGGACGCUGGAGUAGCACCUCUGUGUGCUCUAACGUGGAUAUGGUAGCACGCAAAGGAGCAGUUUUGACCAUGGAUUGUCUUUGGAGUAAGAAGAGAUUUUGAUAAACUUUGGUUGCAUCAAUGAGCAGUUUUUCCUGAUGUGUUGUCAGUUAUCAUAAAAAUAUUCAAUUUUUUUAUUGUACUUUUAGGAAAAUUAUAGUUUCCUCCUUGACUGGUCUGGCAAUCUCAAGCUAAAAUAUUGACGCGGAAAGAUUUUUAUUGA